UUUAGGUCUCCUGAAGGAACGUUGAAGACGACGACGUUGAUAGGCCGGGUGUGUAAGCGCAGCGAUGCGUUGAGCUAACCGGUACUAAUGAACCGUGAGGCUUAACCUUAC
RNAcentral lists this ribosomal RNA (111 nucleotides) under Salmonella enterica subsp. enterica serovar Enteritidis str. SE8a. RNAcentral describes it as "partial 23S ribosomal RNA". It matches the Rfam family "Bacterial large subunit ribosomal RNA", at positions 2814 to 2925 of the family's 2925-position model. RNAcentral also lists the same sequence under 9 other names. The record is from RNAcentral. Lineage: Bacteria; Pseudomonadati; Pseudomonadota; Gammaproteobacteria; Enterobacterales; Enterobacteriaceae.